This 266-nucleotide ribosomal RNA is filed under the name uncultured Ascomycota. RNAcentral's name for it is "partial 18S ribosomal RNA". It matches the Rfam family "Eukaryotic small subunit ribosomal RNA", at positions 548 to 820 of the family's 1831-position model. Lineage: Eukaryota; Fungi; Ascomycota. The record is from RNAcentral.
UUGGAGGGCAAGUCUGGUGCCAGCAGCCGCGGUAAUUCCAGCUCCAAUAGCGUAUAUUAAAGUUGUUGCAGUUAAAAAGCUCGUAGUUGAACCUUGGGCCUGGCUGGCCAGUCCGUCUCAUCGCGUGUACUGGUCCGGCCGGGCCUUUCCUUCUGGCUAGGCACAUGCCCUUUACUGGGUGUGUGUCCGAACCAGGACUUUUACUUUGAAAAAAUUAGAGUGUUCAAAGCAGGCAUAUGCUCGAAUACAUUAGCAUGGAAUAAUAG